GACAAGUAUGUGAAUAAACCUAGUUUUUUUUUAGUUUUUUUUUUUUUAUUAUAAUUUAAUAUAAAUACGACCUUAGUGAAUACAAGUUUCAUUCUGUGUCGAUCAUUUCUCCACUCCGCGUCUUUUCACGAGCCCAUUUAGUUUAAAUUAGCUUAAUACUAUUGUAAUUCCCGUCUUCGAGAAAGUAAAGAAGGUUCGGAAUCACGAAAUGAACAAUAAAAUUGUGGACCCCAUAGACUCGUGCAGUGCCGAAGAUAGUCCUAACAAUGACAAUCAGAAUAUGGAUGUUAUGGAUGUUUAUUCGCAACGCCCCGUUUGUUUUGGGGCUCGGCAAGUGGAGCCCUCAA
Long non-coding RNA from Drosophila sulfurigaster albostrigata, 347 nucleotides. RefSeq lists it as uncharacterized. The record is from RefSeq and is a predicted model, not a curated record. The transcript has 3 exons. Lineage: Eukaryota; Metazoa; Arthropoda; Insecta; Diptera; Drosophilidae.